Molecule: ribosomal RNA, 3086 nt
Filed under: Salmonella enterica
Lineage: Bacteria; Pseudomonadati; Pseudomonadota; Gammaproteobacteria; Enterobacterales; Enterobacteriaceae
Description: 23S ribosomal RNA
Rfam family: Bacterial large subunit ribosomal RNA
Source: RNAcentral
GGUUAAGCGACUAAGCGUACACGGUGGAUGCCCUGGCAGUCAGAGGCGAUGAAGGGCGUGCUAAUCUGCGAUAAGCGCCGGUAAGGUGAUAUGAACCGUUAUAACCGGCGAUACCCGAAUGGGGAAACCCAGUGUGAUUCGUCACACUAUCAUUAACUGAAUCCAUAGGUUAAUGAGGCGAACCGGGGGAACUGAAACAUCUAAGUACCCCGAGGAAAAGAAAUCAACCGAGAUUCCCCCAGUAGCGGCGAGCGAACGGGGAGGAGCCCAGAGCCUGAAUCAGCAUGUGUGUUAGUGGAAGCGUCUGGAAAGGCGCGCGAUACAGGGUGACAGCCCCGUACACAAAAGCGCAUGUGCUGUGAGCUCGAUGAGUAGGGCGGGACACGUGGUAUCCUGUCUGAAUAUGGGGGGACCAUCCUCCAAGGCUAAAUACUCCUGACUGACCGAUAGUGAACCAGUACCGUGAGGGAAAGGCGAAAAGAACCCCGGCGAGGGGAGUGAAAAAGAACCUGAAACCGUGUACGUACAAGCAGUGGGAGCCCCACCACUAAGCCAGUGGUGAACUCCACAUACGCAUCCUUUGCUGAGGAUACGGUUAACGGAGCGAAAGCGACGUUCAACCUCAAAAGAAGCAGAGGGGGCUUAGUGGUGGGGUGACUGCGUACCUUUUGUAUAAUGGGUCAGCGACUUAUAUUCUGUAGCAAGGUUAACCGAAUAGGGGAGCCGGAGGGAAACCGAGUCUUAAUUGGGCGUUAAGUUGCAGGGUAUAGACCCGAAACCCGGUGAUCUAGCCAUGGGCAGGUUGAAGGUUGGGUAACACUAACUGGAGGACCGAACCGACUAAUGUUGAAAAAUUAGCGGAUGACCUGUGGCUGGGGGUGAAAGGCCAAUCAAACCGGGAGAUAGCUGGUUCUCCCCGAAAGCUAUUUAGGUAGCGCCUCGUGAAUUCAUCUCCGGGGGUAGAGCACUGUUUCGGCUAGGGGGCCAUCCCGGCUUACCAACCCGAUGCAAACUGCGAAUACCGGAGAAUGUUAUCACGGGAGACACACGGCGGGUGCUAACGUCCGUCGUGAAGAGGGAAACAACCCAGACCGCCAGCUAAGGUCCCAAAGUCAUGGUUAAGUGGGAAACGAUGUGGGAAGGCCCAGACAGCCAGGAUGUUGGCUUAGAAGCAGCCAUCAUUUAAAGAAAGCGUAAUAGCUCACUGGUCGAGUCGGCCUGCGCGGAAGAUGUAACGGGGCUAAACCAUGCACCGAAGCUGCGGCAGCGAACGUAUCACUUAAAGCGAUUCAGCGGGUUACGAUUGACGGAGCGAAGCGACGUCAAAGCGUAUACAAAGUCGAGUCGGUUUAAGGAUACGUUCGUUGGGUAGGGGAGCGUUCUGUAAGCCUGCGAAGGUGGCCUGUGAGGGUUGCUGGAGGUAUCAGAAGUGCGAAUGCUGACAUAAGUAACGAUAAAGCGGGUGAAAAGCCCGCUCGCCGGAAGACCAAGGGUUCCUGUCCAACGUUAAUCGGGGCAGGGUGAGUCGACCCCUAAGGCGAGGCCGAAAGGCGUAGUCGAUGGGAAACAGGUUAAUAUUCCUGUACUUGGUGUUACUGCGAAGGGGGGACGGAGAAGGCUAUGUUGGCCGGGCGACGGUUGUCCCGGUUUAAGCGUGUAGGCUGGUUUUCCAGGCAAAUCCGGAAAAUCAAGGCUGAGGCGUGAUGACGAGGCACUACGGUGCUGAAGCAACAAAUGCCCUGCUUCCAGGAAAAGCCUCUAAGCAUCAGGUAACAUCAAAUCGUACCCCAAACCGACACAGGUGGUCAGGUAGAGAAUACCAAGGCGCUUGAGAGAACUCGGGUGAAGGAACUAGGCAAAAUGGUGCCGUAACUUCGGGAGAAGGCACGCUGACACGUAGGUGAAGUGAUUUACUCACGGAGCUGAAGUCAGUCGAAGAUACCAGCUGGCUGCAACUGUUUAUUAAAAACACAGCACUGUGCAAACACGAAAGUGGACGUAUACGGUGUGACGCCUGCCCGGUGCCGGAAGGUUAAUUGAUGGGGUCAGCGCAAGCGAAGCUCCUGAUCGAAGCCCCGGUAAACGGCGGCCGUAACUAUAACGGUCCUAAGGUAGCGAAAUUCCUUGUCGGGUAAGUUCCGACCUGCACGAAUGGCGUAAUGAUGGCCAGGCUGUCUCCACCCGAGACUCAGUGAAAUUGAACUCGCUGUGAAGAUGCAGUGUACCCGCGGCAAGACGGAAAGACCCCGUGAACCUUUACUAUAGCUUGACACUGAACAUUGAGCCUUGAUGUGUAGGAUAGGUGGGAGGCUUUGAAGUGUGGACGCCAGUCUGCAUGGAGCCGACCUUGAAAUACCACCCUUUAAUGUUUGAUGUUCUAACGUGGACCCGUGAUCCGGGUUGCGGACAGUGUCUGGUGGGUAGUUUGACUGGGGCGGUCUCCUCCUAAAGAGUAACGGAGGAGCACGAAGGUUGGCUAAUCCUGGUCGGACAUCAGGAGGUUAGUGCAAUGGCAUAAGCCAGCUUGACUGCGAGCGUGACGGCGCGAGCAGGUGCGAAAGCAGGUCAUAGUGAUCCGGUGGUUCUGAAUGGAAGGGCCAUCGCUCAACGGAUAAAAGGUACUCCGGGGAUAACAGGCUGAUACCGCCCAAGAGUUCAUAUCGACGGCGGUGUUUGGCACCUCGAUGUCGGCUCAUCACAUCCUGGGGCUGAAGUAGGUCCCAAGGGUAUGGCUGUUCGCCAUUUAAAGUGGUACGCGAGCUGGGUUUAGAACGUCGUGAGACAGUUCGGUCCCUAUCUGCCGUGGGCGCUGGAGAACUGAGGGGGGCUGCUCCUAGUACGAGAGGACCGGAGUGGACGCAUCACUGGUGUUCGGGUUGUCAUGCCAAUGGCACUGCCCGGUAGCUAAAUGCGGAAGAGAUAAGUGCUGAAAGCAUCUAAGCACGAAACUUGCCCCGAGAUGAGUUCUCCCUGAGACUUAGAGUCUCCUGAAGGAACGUUGAAGACGACGACGUUGAUAGGCCGGGUGUGUAAGCGCAGCGAUGCGUUGAGCUAACCGGUACUAAUGAACCGUGAGGCUUAACCUU